Molecule: ribosomal RNA, 187 nt
Filed under: uncultured eukaryote
Lineage: Eukaryota
Description: partial 18S ribosomal RNA
Rfam family: Eukaryotic small subunit ribosomal RNA
Source: RNAcentral
UGGUGGAGUGAUUUGUCUGGUUAAUUCCGAUAACGAACGAGACUCUGUCCUGCUAACUAGGUUGUGUUUUCUCGGGUCGUGGUGUUCUGGUGUUCCUUCUCGGGGCGCCGGCCCGAUCCACUUGUGAACACAACACUCUUCUUAGAGGGACUGGCGGCUGUUAGCCGCACGAGAUAGAGCAAUAACA